GUGGGAUUAGCUAGUUGGUGAGGUAAUGGCUCACCAAGGCGACGAUCCCUAGCUGUUCUGAGAGGAUGAUCAGCCACACUGGGACUGAGACACGGCCCAGACUCCUACGGGAGGCAGCAGUGGGGAAUAUUGCACAAUGGGGGAAACCCUGAUGCAGCCAUGCCGUGUGUGUGAAGAAGGCCUUCGGGUUGUAAAGCACUUUCAGUAGGGAGGAAAGGUAGCAGCUUAAUACGCUGUUGCUGUGACGUUACCUACAGAAGAAGGACCGGCUAACUCCGUGCCAGCAGCCGCGGUAAUACGGAGGGUCCGAGCGUUAAUCGGAAUUACUGGGCGUAAAGCGUGCGCAGGCGGUUUGUUAAGCGAGAUGUGAAAGCCCCGGGCUCAACCUGGGAAUUGCAUUUCGAACUGGCGAACUAGAGUCUUGUAGAGGGGGGUAGAAUUCCAGGUGUAGCGGUGAAAUGCGUAGAGAUCUGGAGGAAUACCGGUGGCGAAGGCGGCCCCCUGGACAAAGACUGACGCUCAGGCACGAAAGCGUGGGGAGCAAACAGGAUUAGAUACCCCGGUAGUCCACGCCGUAAACGAUGUC
Molecule: ribosomal RNA, 586 nt
Filed under: uncultured Shewanella sp.
Lineage: Bacteria; Pseudomonadati; Pseudomonadota; Gammaproteobacteria; Alteromonadales; Shewanellaceae
Description: bacterial SSU rRNA
Rfam family: Bacterial small subunit ribosomal RNA
Source: RNAcentral